UUCUUUUUGGUCCAUAUAUUAGUUUAAUGCACUAGGAUGCUUCGACCGAUAGAUAUUAGACUCAAACCCAGUUUCUGUGUAAAAAGGCUCAAAUAUGGUUCCUUUUUUUAGUUUUCAAAUUUAAGAGAACAUAUCUUACACACCAAGAUAUCUGGUACAAAAUCAGGAUAUUUUUUAAAGAAUGCACGAUUCCCAAAAAUAUCACAUUUUUGAUAACCGCCACCUUUUUCCCUGAUUUUUUGGGAUUUCCCAUAACAUGUCCGCCUUCUUCCCUUUCGGUGGAAUACACGCUCUGAGAUUGGCCUCAUCCUUUGGAUCGAGCUUGCCUUGUAGCCUCAAUCAUUUGAGAUUAGGUAUUAUUUAUCUCAUUAUUUCUUGCUUGCUUGGCCCUCACCCUUUUGUUUUCUUGUUAGAUGCCGCAGAAUUCGGGAAAGUGGUGGGGGUCAAAGCUCGCUAUUCCUUACUCACCGGUAGCUUCAAGCCCGGAAUCUCCUUUUACUCGGAACCAACGCUUAAUUCGGGAGCACAAACUGAGGUGUGAGCAAGAGGAUACUCGAGACCACUUCCGACGUUAGAUAGACGAGGUCGAAGAAAGGAAAAGGAAAAGACUAAGGAUCACCCUUUAUCCAGAUCCAGCCUCUCGACUCUAUGCUCAAAGUAACAAUUGCCUUCAAGCCGGGUGAUCUUCAAUUCUCGCUGAUGGGGGAACCUUCUACCUCGCAGCCGAGGAGAGAAUUCUUCGAGGUCGAGCAUUAUUGGAGCUCGGUUACAUCGCUUGUUAUAUUAUUUCAUAUAAUAUAAUAUUAGAUUAAAUAAUGUGACAAAAUGUGAUUUAUCACACAAAUGUGAUUUGUCACACCUUGUAACAUAUUAUUGAGAGUCACAAAAUUGGACACAUGUGUAUGCCUAAAUGUGGGCAUAUUUUGGAGUUACAAAAUCAGUUACAAAUUUGUAACUCCCAAAUAUUACCCAAGAAUGUGUAUAUUAUAUGUUACACAUUUGAGAUUGGAUUUCAUAAAGCCAGAUGAGGAAUGGCUGAUAGAGAUGUGAUUUUAACUUCCAUAUUGUGUAUGGAAGUUACAAAAUCAAGUGGGAAUAAAUUAGAACGUUUUGAAAAAAAACUAAAAAAUUGGUUGCUGAAAAUGACCAAGGGCUGCGGCGCUUGAACAAGCGCCGCGGCCCUAGUGGCUGACAGCUUCAUACAAAUUCAGUUUUUAUCCAAUUUUGAACGUUUCCAACAGCCAAGUAACUCUCAAAUCUUUAUUUUAAUUCUAUAAAACAUCCAAUUAAUCAUUGGUAACAGCCAUGGGGUUGGUGGAAUUUGAAAUUCAAACGGUGUCUCAAAACUCUAUAAAUAGGAGCCUAAUGCUCACUUGUAAGACACACCAUUUUUCAUCCACAAAGCACUUGGCUGAAAAAUACAUCUUAAGGCUUGAUUAUUCUAGAGAGUUAUUUCCUUUAGAGAUCCCUUAGUGCUUAGAGAAUAGGGGGAAAUAAGCUUUUGGAGAAAGGUUUUUGAACCUUGUUCAAGUUGGUAAUCCUCAUUACUCUACACUUUGGUUGAGUGUGAGUUUGUGUUUUUCAUUGAUCUUUUCAUUCAGUUGUUCUUCUUGUAUUAUUAUUGUUUUGAGUUUCUAAUCCUCUUCUUCUAUUUCUAUUUACAUAUUUAUUGGUAUCUCUUGUUUUAGAGUUUUGUUCUAAUAAUUCUCUUCUUUCUCUCUUUUCUGCAUUUACUUGUAUUGUUGGUCAUUGAGUUGUAAACCUAUUUAUCUAUCAUCUUGUCCAUGGUAUUCUUUGCAUAGAGUUGUAUUUUUGGUUUUUUCCACUUUUCAUUGAGCAAUAAAAUAUAUUCUCUUACAUCGCUAGGUCAGAUAAUUGAUAUUCUGGCCUUUCACGGCAUAGGACUAUCGAGCUCACUGAGGUGUUAAGCUCCGACCUCCCAUGAGCGGAGUUGCCACGCUCCGAGAGAUGGAAAUCCUGACAGCAAGCUGAGAUAUGCAGCUUGGAGCCAGGAACAUAUGAAGGCAGGGGCAGUACUGCCCUUGAAGUCUUUUUUCAAAGACUUCACGGACUUCGUUGGGCUGACUCCCUUCCAACUCAACACCAAUUCUUACAGGGUUCUGUCUGCCCUGAGGUCGCUUUACCACGAGCUGAAGUAGAAAUGACCUUCGCCUAAAGAGAUCUUAUAUCUCUUUUGCUUGAAAAGCAAUCCCUCCCGAGCUCGGGGAGGAGAUGGCUUCUACUAUCUCUCAAGCUAUCCCAAGGAGAAGAAGAUGUUUGAAGAUCUUCCCAACCAUCCUCCUGAUUUCAAGAAGGCCUUCUUCUCGACAGAUGGCCUAGCCCCAUCUAGAUUCUACUCAUUUAGACGGAUUCGUAAGUAUCUCAACUUCCCUCUUUUUUGUGCUCGAACUUUGUUUAGGCUUGUGCUUAGCUGAAAUGUGUUUGAUCUUCCAGCCAAUUACCAUCGCCCUACUCCCACCAAGGAGAUGAGAGAGCAUAGAGAGACUCUACUCCAACUCCCCUACGGCAGGAGGUCCCUCUCCUAUCUCCUACAUGAAGGCAAGCUCCGGGCAUGUGGUCUCUUGGGGGAGGAUCAGUCUACAUCCGACUGGUCCAAUAAGAAGUACGACCAGUGGGAGCUCGUGCCUCAGCCGACCAGCAACCUUCCCUCAAGGAGAGAUGCGAGGCCUCCAUCUCCAGCUCAACGUCAUAGGAGUCCGCAAUCGGGGAAUGAGGCCAAUGAUGAGGCCUCGAGCUCGGGCUCAGAUGAACAAGGUACAGUCAUCCUUAGCUCGGAUUUGUGGUCUCCCUCACUACUAAAACAUAAACCCGAUAGAUUAAUAUUGUGUGAGGACGAUAGGAACCAUUUCUAUGUAUUGUCUUGGGUAGAUGAGAGGGUACAUAGGUUCGAUAGUUGGUUCGGGAAAUACGACACCAUUAUAGCCUGAACGAGGUAUGGGAUGAAAUAGCCGUCCAAUAUGAGACUAACGACUAUAGGGACCUUUCGAGGUUGACAUCCACCUACAGGGAAGGCACUCCCCCCGCCUCUUCUGAAGAUGGGGGAAUUUCGUGGUCACCGAGCACAAGCUCGGGGGAGAGUUCCAGCGAGAUGGACUCCGACCUUGACAACAUUCUGGUCAGUGGCGGAGCCAAGAGGAGUAAGCACCCGAGGGGGUCGCGAAAAACAGACCGGCCUGCUAAGGUCCUUAAGAGGACCGAGAAAACGCCACCUCCCCUGGCUCCGGUUGUUCCAAGCACAGCUUUGAGUCCACUUGCUUAGGCCAAGACUCCCUCCUCGACCUUGCCUCGUGUUCCUCCUACACCCCAGAUCAAUCCCAUAGUUGGCCCACCUUCGAAGAAACCCUUGUCCUCAAAGACACCGCUACUUUCGAUUUCUACUCAUGUUGAUGAGUAUGUGAUCGACAACGCAGCUGGACCCCACUGGGCUACGCUAGGCUCGGACGUUUUGUCUCGGGUGGGUCAGAGUUUUGGAAGCUUCGACGCUACUCACUGACAGUUUUUGAACAAUGCCCAGGACUGCAACACUCUUUACGAGAAGAGCAUCGAGCUCCAUGCUGCGACUCUUGCUGUCUCUGCUCAGCUUAAUUAUAAGUUGAACAAUGAGGUCCAUUCGAGCAUGUCUCUUGCUCAGGAGGCGAAGGAUCUUCAACUCAAAUUGAGUGACGAGCUCAAGGCAACAAAAGCAAAGGUGGAGGCAGGAGCUGAGGAGCUAAAGGCCAAGACAUCCGAGCUUGAAAAGAUGAAUGCCUGGCUCGCGGAGCUUGAGAAGGAGAAUGCUCGGGUCAAGGAGAUCAAUGCCAAGCUUGAAGAAGAGAAGACCGUCACUUUCGAGAUCAUGGAGGGUGAAAAGGUUCGUCUUCUUGAAGAGUUUAAGGAGAAAAAGGAUCGGGCAGUCGACUUGGCCAUGUACAGAAUCUGGGCCAACAAUGUUGACCUCGACACAAGCUUCUUAGGCCCUCUUGAAGCAAAGCUUGUGGCUAAAUGGCAAGCUCGGCUUGAUGAGGAGGAGACUGCUCGGGAUGAGGCAGAGGAAGCUGGGGAUGAUGCCGAUGCUGAGAAGGCCAAGGAGAAUGCUCCUUCUUCUUAAAUCUUACCUCGGGGCUGCGUCCCUCUGUAUUUCUUGUAAUGAUCUUUUAUGCCCACGGGGCCAAGACAAUUCUAUAGCUCGUAAAAGAGCUGCCUUUUCUUAUGAUAUUUGAGAUACCAUUUUUUGACUUUAUUUUAGUAUAUAUGCUUUACACUUCUUGGGUUGAAAUAUUUUGUGCAAUUUAUAUUAAAGUGUCAUAAAUGCCUGUUUAUUCAUACAAAUAUAGUUUGGAUUUAAGCUCGAGGUUCAAUGCAUUCAUGCACAGUUUGCUCGAAUUAUCCGCUUUCGAUCUCGUUAUUUGUCAAGGUCGGAUAUUACUUUUACCAUGCACCCGAAAGUACUUAUAUGGU
Long non-coding RNA from Humulus lupulus (European hop), 4458 nucleotides. RefSeq lists it as uncharacterized. NCBI's taxonomy places the organism in Eukaryota, Viridiplantae, Streptophyta, Magnoliopsida, Rosales, Cannabaceae. The transcript has 3 exons. The record is from RefSeq and is a predicted model, not a curated record.